Molecule: long non-coding RNA, 300 nt
Filed under: Mytilus galloprovincialis (Mediterranean mussel)
Lineage: Eukaryota; Metazoa; Mollusca; Bivalvia; Mytilida; Mytilidae
Source: RNAcentral
CAUUAAAUUAAAUACAAACUAGAACACACCCGCGAAAUCGCGGGCAUUCAGAGCGGAGUUAAAAGUAUGUAAAGUGUUGUUAGAAGUUUUAUACCUCCUCCUUCAUUUCCAAAAUUCCCAAUUUUUGGUUUUCUAUCAAUUUCAAUAUGAACAUACAUUUAGUAUGUUAUGAACAUUUAAGUAAGGAGCCUGUAGUUCAGUGGUUGUCGUUUGUUUGUGUGUUACAUAUUUGUUUUUCGUUCCUUUUUUGUACAUAAAUAAGGCCGCUAGUUUUCUCGUUUGAAUUUUUUUACAUCGUCA